RNA transcript from Felis catus (domestic cat), 8076 nucleotides. It is a transcript of the gene named diphthamide biosynthesis 5, with no coding region annotated. The record is from RefSeq and is a predicted model, not a curated record. Lineage: Eukaryota; Metazoa; Chordata; Mammalia; Carnivora; Felidae. The transcript has 9 exons.
UCUCCCUGGACUUUGAAAUGCUUUACCUGAUCGGCCUGGGCCUGGGCGAUGCCAAGGACAUCACAGUCAAGGGCCUGGAAAUCGUUAGACGCUGCAGUCGGGUGUAUCUGGAAGCCUAUACCUCAAUCCUGACUGUAGGGAAGGAAGUCUUGGAAGAGUUCUACGGAAGAAAAUUGAUUCUUGCUGAUAGAGAAGAAGUGGAACAAGAAGCAGAUAAUAUUUUAAAGGAUGCCGAUAUCUGUGAUGUUGCAUUCCUUGUGGUUGGUGAUCCAUUUGGGGCUACCACACACAGCGAUCUUAUUCUGAGAGCAACAAAACUGGGAAUCUCUUACCGAGUUAUUCACAAUGCUUCCAUAAUGAAUGCUGUAGGCUGCUGUGGUUUACAGUUGUAUAAGUUUGGAGAGACGGUAUCUAUUGUUUUUUGGACAGACACUUGGAGACCAGAAAGCUUCUUUGACAAAGUAAAGAAGAACAGACAAAAUGGCAUGCACACGUUAUGCUUACUAGACAUCAAAGUAAAGGAGCAGUCUUUGGAAAAUCUAAUCAAGGGAAGGAAGAUCUAUGAACCUCCUCGGUAUAUGAGUGUAAACCAAGCAGCCCGGCAGCUUCUGGAGAUUGUUCAGAAUCAACGAGUACGAGGAGAAGAGCCAGGGGAAGACUCCAUGAACCUGGUGGAAAGCCAUAGCCGGAAGGCUGAAAAAUCUGAGCAAAGUUUGUUGCUCUGUAUUGCAAGGGAAAACAGUUUUGAGUUUGAAUCCCGUCAAGUUAGAAGGCUUGCUGAUAUCAUACACAGGGAAUGAGGUGAAAGAACAAUUCAGGGUUAAUCCAAAUAUCUGGAAACAAAUACUGUGAGAUGGUGUUCAUCAGGUAAAAUAAUCAGAGCCACAAUGAGGACCUUCACAUGUUAAGACCUUACCAAUCUCCAAGCAUCUCCUCUCUCUGUAAAGGGCCCUGCAGGGCAAGGAGGUGGUGCGAGGUGGCUGCACAGUUUAAAUUCAGUGGCAAAGGUAGGAAAUACGCAUGAGAGCACUGAAUGAAGGAAUGAAUUUAAGCAAUGUAUAUGGAACUAUUGCACCAUAAUCUAUUUUGUCAUGGUAAUUGUUCACUGAUUUUACUGGAGAGUCUGUUUAAGUCAGCUACAACUUCUUGGGUCUUUAAACCACAGCAGAAUGAAGUACUUAAUACAGCAGUCAUCAGAAAAACGCUGGAUUUAAGGUCAGUACCUUACCACUGGCUAUCCCUCAGGCAAGUCAUUUAAAGUCUCCCAAAACAGCUUCCUCAUCUGUAAAAUAAAAUGCAGUUAAGAAUUCCUUCCCCAGAGCUGGGGUUGGGGUGGGAUUUGAAAAUGCUCUAUCAAUCAUAAAAGCAUGCAAAAUUCUUUAUUGAAAUAUGAGGAUUUCAAAUGUGAUAACCUGGAAAAGACCACACAAAGAACCUGACAGAGAAAUACUAAUAUACGUUGACCCCCAAUCUUUCUGUUUUAAUCUGUAGUUAGGAAAUGGUUAAACAUAAACCAAAAGAUGGUCUCAUCAAAAAGACUCCCAUCUAUUUAGCUUUUAACUAUACUUCUCCGCAGAUGUUUUUCUUUUGAUACGUAAUUUUUCAUUGUAUUUGUGGGUCUAGAUUCUAUGGUAGAGAUCUAGAUGACUAAGGCUUCUGGUGGAUCAUGUCUUGAAACCAUCUUCUUCCAUUAAUAAAACUUUUGGUGAGCUUCAAAGAAUAACAUUUAUUUAUUUUUGCCAACGUUCUUGUGAACUGUAAAAUAAUUUGUUUUGAAGAUGGUAACAGAAAGAAAAAAGUUUAACUUUAUCAAGGUAAUGCUUUUAUGUUGAAAGUAAGCAACUGAAUAUUUGGGGUUCAGGUAAGACUUCAAAAAUUCACCCUAUUGAUUUAAAAAACUUGUUUGGUUCUGUAUUUCAUUUAAUGCCCAAUUUUGUGUGGCUCUGAGAACAAAUAUUAAAAACUCAAAAGCUCCCUAAGUAAUAAAACUGCCAAGUGUCAAGACUGAAAUGGUAUAUAUAACCCGUGAGAAUUAGCCUAGUUUCUGAAAAGUACCAGCUCAGAGAAUAUAAACAAAAUAAAGAAACUAAGCAAUCCUUAAACUGGGUUUAGCCUCGAGCAAUUAACAGAAAAUUUCACUCACAAGUUAAAAGUAUCCAAGAGCACAGAUGUCAUUGUAUUUUAAAAAUCAGGAACUGGUUUCAUAAAAGUAAAAAAGUAAAAGAGAGUACAAAAAUUAUAUUUUCCACAAAGAAUAUUCUAAACCUCAUAAUGAAAGUAUGGAAAUAAUAUUCUAAAUCUCAUAAUUACUUAUGAAAAACAAGACAAUAAAACUCCAUUUAUAAAGUGCCUUAAUGUACCAAAAAUGGAGGUCAGCUUCCCUUUAUUUACAAAUGAUUUUUCAUCACAUUUACAGAAAGGCAAAUAUUACACUGGAGAGGCAGCACAACAGAGUAGAAAGAACUUGACUUGGAGUCAGAAGACCUGGGUUCCAGUCUUGGCUUUGCCACUAAUUCUCUCUGUGACCUUGAGUAAAUGACAGCAUUUCUGGGCUUCAAUUUUCUCAUCUCUAAAAUGAGAGGUAGAAUGAGACUGCUUUUAAGGACAGUCCCUUAGAUGUAAAAUUCUGUUACGCAAUGUAAUCUUUUUGUUCUUAAAUCCCAGCAUUGUAGGAGCAUGCCACAAUGUUAAUAAUCUAUACAAAAUUGAUUAUCCCAUAGUAGGUAAAAACAUCAUAGAACUCUCAUCAACUACAUUUGGAGUCACUGACUGGGCUACUUUACAAAGGUGCACAAGUCACAGUAUUUUGGUUCCUGGCGAAUACAUGUAGGCUUUGAAGAAUGCCGAAGCAUCUGGAUACCAGUGCCACUACCUACUACUUCUUUAUGCCUCUGCACAAGACAGCUUGGCGACAAUGAGAAGAAUAUGGAGCUACAGAUUACACACUGCCCCUCACAAAAGUGCACAGGGAGUCAGCAAAAUAAAACACACACAGUAAGCCCUUUGAGUAAUAUAAUCUAGAUUUCAAAACGCAAAACUAAUAUAGGUAAUUUCAGUUGGGGAAGUUUACCUUGCUAAGUAAACUGCCCCAGAGCAAAACAAAUUUGUUCUCCAGAGAAUAUUUUGGUUUUUAAAAAAUUGGCAAAGUUCUACUCAGAGAUUCAUCCCCCUCCCUUGAGCCCCAAGAAUUACUUAGCUCAAUAAUAAAGACGUCUCAAAUCUUUAACAACAAUCAGGUAAUGUUUCUGAGUGGAAUUAUCUAUUUUAGCAGUACACCUGUGCCAAAAACACAGAUGAGACAGAGUAUUUGUUAUAACAGUAUUUGUGAGAACAAAGUUGCUUUUUUUCACACUAAUUUGUCCUUACUGCACACACAGGUUUAAGGACAUUUAAUUAAAGCAUAAAUGUAAAUGCCAACCUGCUAAAUCAUACAAGCUGGCAACCUCUUGUAACAGGUGCAAAAUUAGAGUUCCAUAUCAGUCUAAUAAUAUGUAUGCUCAGUGCCUCAUCAAAGAAAAGACAUACGCAUGCACUUGUGUAUUGAGAAUAUAGUUAAAAUGAUGCAAAACUUCACUUGGAGUGGAGGGCCUGGUGAAAGGCAGAACUGCAUCUGCAAAUGCACUGGUCAGUUUUACAGGCCAGUGCAAAUAUUAUCUCCACAUGUGAACAAUCAGUACAAUUACAUAUAAUAUUAGUUUUUAAAGGCACACAACCAAAAUUCCUGCCUUCAUCUAGACUCACAUUUUCCACAAUAUGCCAAAACCCACAGAACACCCCAGGCUUCUAUCAGGCUUGGUAGUGGAUGAAAACUUCCAAAUGACUACUUAGACUUAUAAUGAAAAACCAGUACAUUAUCAGGACGUUUCCUUUUAUACUUUCCCUCCUUAAACAUCUCAACAGUUGUUUUCGUCAAACAUAUUCUGUUGCAGGAAUUCUUAGCUUCAGAACUGCCUGGCAGUAAGUAGAAAUGCUUUGAAAAUACUGCUUAAUCUGCAAAACAGAGACUGUCAACAACUCAUAGCAAUCUGCAGCAGUUUAGAAAAGCAUAAAGUAGUCCAGUUUUCCUACUAUAGUUCAUAAACUGUAGAUCAGAAAUAGGGAGAAAGAUACUCUCUAACUUAGACAAAAUAACAGCGAUUUCUGCCCCAUCAGUGAAAAAGUGCUUAUUAUUGGUUGACAUUCUAAACAAGUAUUUCCAUCCUGCAGGGUUUUUUCCCCCAAGAAUUCAGUUUUUUAAAGUUAAAAGGGAAGAUACCUUAUGAUAAAACAAAGAACAAUGGGUAAAUGUCUAUCCAGAUCAACAUUUCUUCAUAAACCACAGAGAAUCUUUGAGUGUUCAAGCACUUGUCAUCUCAAAUCACGAUUUUAUUUUUCAAAUACACCAGAACCCAGAAAUCAACUUAUUUAUUACUUCUAAGACACCUGUUUUAUCACAACUGAUCUGUAUCUUCAAUAGUUCAAACUCAAUAAAAUGUUGCUUUUGGGAUUUCUGAAAGCAACUGUAUUUGUGCAAGGCUUGCACAAGAAAAAUUGUAUGACUUAGCAUUUGAAGAAUGAAAAAACACAAUAACAUUGUCACAACUAUUUCUGCCUUCACUCUACAUUGCCUUUCCUUUCUUUAAGAAAAUCCAUCAACAGCGAGGAGACAUAGCAAAGGUUAUCACAGACAAGUAGCUUUUAGAGAAAUUUGGGAUUUAGCAGAUGUUUUAAGUUAGUCAAAACAACCAUCUGUAAAACAAAUGCUUUGCAAAGUUUUGAAAAUACAGUCCAUGGAAUAAUGCAAUGUGAUAACUGAAUUUGAUUUAAAAAGCAAAAUAACACCUGUUUUUUGAUGAGGUAAAGCAGUAAGAGGAAACUUUUCAUAUAUUUAAACCUAUGCUGGAAGGACACGAAAAGACAAUCUGUAUACAUCACUAACAAGAGUCUUCCACCUUGUACAGAUUACAGAAUUACCCAUUAAAAAACAUAUGCAUGACCUUUGAUGGUACAUUUUUAUGCUGGCAAAUACAUUUUCAGAUACAAAGGCACUUUGAAAACCCAAUAUGGUUUGGUUCAUAAGUUUGCAAGGUACAAACAAUUUUACAAACAUAUGAUUAUACUGAAGAACGUCAACAAUCGUGACAUUACAUAUAAAAUGAUUUCUUUUUUUUUUUCUUUUCUUUUCUUUUUUUUUUUAGUAACACUAGUUUUGUGGAAAGGAAGCAGUGGCUUCCAUCAGCUUCAGCGAAGACAUUCAGAUGCCUGGAGGCCCAUAGUCCGAAUUCUUACUGGCUAGGAGGAGAACUGGGAGUGAGGGCAUUUUUGAAAUGGAAAAAGAAAAGAAAGGAAGCAAAAACUAACAUCCUGGACCAAACUAGAAACCUCAGAAAUCAAAAUGGUUUGGAGGGAACAGCACAAAAGACAAGACCAACAGUCCAGGAGGGACCCUCUUAACUCUGAUCCCUCAGCUGUGAAGUCCUGGCAGAGCACAAAAGGCUGACGCUACCUGGUGUACUUGGAGCUGGGGAUUUGUAGUGACGAUUUCCGUCUUAAAAAGCUAGGUACAGUGUUUUGGAUUGUACAGUACCAGAAAUAUUGGGUCCCCCAAAAAGGACAAUUUCUUUUCAUUCAUUACAUGGCCGCAAAGUCAAUCUGUACAUAAAGCUGUCUCACUCCAGCCUGAAAGGUAAAAAAAAAAAAAAAAAAAAAAAAUUAGAAAAUCAAACCAAUAACACACUACACAUUUCAGAAAAUUAACUUAAAAAAAAACUUUUUUUUUUUUUUAAAGGAAAGCAUUACUUUUCUCUUCUGCCUCUGGAACAAUAAUUCUCUAUUUUUCAUCAUAAAGGGCCAGCAAUGUUACUUUAGAAAUAAGCAUAGUGACAAGUUGCAAAAAACAUCCUUCAUUUGCCUCUAGGGAAGAAAGCCAUGCUACUGAUUAUAAACCAUGUCCCAGCGAAAUUUGGAACAAUUAGGUUACCCGUGUACUGUUACUCUGCCAGAGAACACCAUAGUGCUUGCUUAGUUGGCUACUAAAAUCAUAAAUCGAUCCAGGCCCCAUCUCCCUGUGACGGAUGAUUAGUAAACACGUAUGACCAUCUGUUGGUCAUUUAAAUACAUUCUACUCCUCUCUUCCAUUUUGGAUAUGAACUCACUAUUCAAAGACCGUUCUCUAAAUUGCCACCAGCUCUCCUACAUUACCAAUUUUUGUGUAUUUGCCGCCUACAAUUUUUUCUCUCUUCUCUUGAACACAUUUCAGCUGAACUUUUGCCACCCACCACUUUGCAAAGCUGUUGGUCAGGGUCGCCUCCAAGGUGCUCAGACCAGUGCUCACUUGUCAGUCCUCUUAGCACUUAGUCUAUUAGCAAGGACACAGGCGAUCUCCUCUCCUAACGAAAACGCUUUUCCCCUCUUGGCUUCCAGAGAAUACUCACUGGUAACUUUUUACUUAUUUAUCAGUCUUCCUUAAUCUCCUUUCGUGCUUCUUUCUCCUAACUUGGAGUACUGAGCACUAACUACCCAAAGGCCCAGUCCUCAGAUUCCUUCUUUUUCUGCACUGUUCCCUAGCUGAUCUCGUCUAAUAUCCAGACUUCCAGUACCAGGUAUAUGCUCAUCCUCCCACAUUUGUAUUUCCACAUUGGAACCUACCAACCGUCUACUUGACAGUUUCAGCUAGAUGUCUGACAAGUAUUACAACACAGCCAAACUGAACACUAUUGCCUCUCCUCAAAGCCUGGUGCUCUUGCAUCUUCUGCGGUUCAAUCCUACCCUUAAUGUUACAACUGAAAGACCUUUCUCUCACACUCAGCCCAUUAGGAAUACCGUUUGCCUCACUUUCAAAACACCACAGUCCCAGAAUCUGACCACUUCACAUCACCUCCAAUUGCUGCCACUUUGGCGUGAGGCACUCUCAUCUCUUGCCUGGAUUUGGUAAUGGCUUCUGAUCUAGUUCCCAUGCCUCUGCCUUUGCCUUCCUUUGGUCUACGUGCAGCAGAGCAGUGGCAGUGGUAUCACUCCAGCACUCAAAGCCUACAACUGCUCAUCUUCCUUGGUCCUUACAGUGGCCUACAAACCCCUGUGACCUGGUCCCAAUUUCCUCUCUGACUCCUCUCCCCUUGUUCCAGCUUCACUUGACCCUUCUGCCACUAACAGCGUUCCCUGAGAUAACCAUGUGACAUGCUCCCUCUCCGGUCAGACACCAGUGAGGCCUACCCUAUAUAAAAUGCAUUCGGUUCAUUUAUCCAACAAGUAUGCUCCCUACCCUUCCCUAACCCUGAUUCCCCUAUCCACAACACUAACCACCUCCUGACACAUUAUAAAAUUUAGCAUUUGCUAUGCUGCUGUGUUUACUGUUGCUCACCCAUUAUCAUGUGAUCUCUCCAAAAAAAAAGGAUUUUGUCUUUUUUUUCACUGCUGACCUCUAUACCUCAAGUAAUGCCUGGCACAGAGUAAGUAAUCAAUAAAUGUUUACUGGAUGAACAGAAAUUCUACUACAUUCCUUCUUUCGAAUAAAAAUAAUUGUUUAAAUGAAAGCAUACAAUAGUUUAAGAAUUUUCUUGUCAGUACCACAGAAUGAAAGGUAAAUUAGAAUAUUAAUGGAAAGGAAAAGAGCCAGAGUGGGGGAUAAAAAUCUAUUAACACUACCAUCUUGAGGUAAUUUCUAGCAUGGCUUUAUUUCCUAGCGUUCACGGCGGAGGGCUCUGCACGGCACUGAUGGGUGUGUGGGAGGAGCAGGAGCAGGAGCGACUCUGAUGGGAUAAAACACUGGGGAGACCUGGAAGCUUCCCAGCACAGAACACCCUUCAGCUUUCUUGCUGCAUUAAAAAAUAAUAAUAAAAUAAAUCUUUGCUGCGGUCCAGUUAAAGCUGUUAUUCAAAAUUGUUAUUUGUUAUUCAAAUUUCCGGAAAAUACAUUUAAUAGCAGCCUCUCCUUAAAGAGGCUUCUGGCAGAAAACAGGAUUUGGGGCUAACAUUUAGAACAAACCUCAAUUGUCUCAUUGUAAAAGCGUCGAUACAUACCAACCCUACUCAUCUCACAAAACUGUUACGUGUUCAUCCAGUAUUUGACAAAUGUUUAAUAAAGCCUUGUUCCAUACCA